This is a non-coding RNA of Podarcis lilfordi (Lilford's wall lizard), 74 nucleotides long. NCBI's taxonomy places the organism in Eukaryota, Metazoa, Chordata, Lepidosauria, Squamata, Lacertidae. The record is from the annotation of a GenBank genome assembly.
GCCUGGAUGGCUCAGUUGGUUAGAGCAUGGUGCUCAUAAUGCCAAGGUUGCAGGUUCAAUCCCUGUAUUGGACA